This 2408-nucleotide long non-coding RNA is filed under the name Sus scrofa (pig). RNAcentral describes it as "lncRNA (ENSSSCG00050045235.1)". The record is from RNAcentral. Lineage: Eukaryota; Metazoa; Chordata; Mammalia; Artiodactyla; Suidae.
CGCAGGGCACAGGAGGACAGAGCUGGAGUCACAGUCCUGAAGACUCAGUGCAGACUGACCCCAGUGCUCCUGUGCCCAAGGUCAGACCUGGUCAGAGUACUCCAGCCUCGGGCUACAACCCCUGCCUCAGGAACGGACGUGUGACUCAUACAAAGCCUUUUAGGAUCCACCUGGGGACUUUUACUGUGCUCCUGGGACAAAUGUACACAUUUCCUCUAGCAUGUUAAGCUGUUAGGAUCUUGCUGCCAGCUGGUAAAAUUUACACUCAACACAGAGGAAAAGUCAGGGACAGAGAGACAGGGUUCUGACUUCACAUGAGGACUGCUUACCCAGAUCCAGCUCUGCCUGACUUUCCAGUUUACUGGGCUAGCCUGCACUGGUUUUCUGUUGCUUGCAGCCAAAGUGGCCUAAAUAGUGUACUUUUGCUGUUGGCACUUAUGUCCAAAUCACCAUAAAUAUGCUGCCUCUGAUCACUAUAGGGAAAGGAUUCAGUGAUUCAUUUCUUCCUGCCUGCCUGCCUGUCUGCUUGCUUGCUGGCUUUUUGUCGCUUUCUCUCUUUCUCUCUUUCUUUCUUUUUUUCUGGGCUGCACCUGCAGCACAUGGAAGCUCCUGGGCCAGGGAUCAAAUCUGAGUUAUAUCUGCAGCCCACAGCUACAGCAGCCCUGGAUCUGUAACCCACUGCCCUGGGUGGGGAAUUGGACCGGCAACACCACGGAGACAAGCCAGAUCAUGAACCCACUGCUCCACAGCUGGCACUCUGGAUUCUGUGAUUUCUAAUUGGCCACAACUCACAAGGACACAGAGGCUUUGAAACAGCUGAGCACAGAUUUCAAGAAUGAGAAGACAAGGUCAUGACUGUACUUUUGAAAUUGCUGUUGUAGGUGUGCAGAAGCAUGAUGCUUCUCUCACCACCUUUGACUGUUUACUGAUUGGAAGCACAAGACGGAUCAGAUGGGAGAACUGGCCCAAAAACGGGUGUGAGAUGCCAACAAGGAAAGGGAAACCCAAAUACCAUUUCACAACAGCCUGAAUCACAUACUUCUCAAACACAAAGAAAGGAAGUGGCCUCAUCCAGAACUUUAGAGGAAAGAAACCCUAUGAGCCAUGACCAUAAGCUGCUAAUUUAAGGAAUUACUACAAUAUGUGUCCAAAGCCCGAUCUUUUAUGAAAAGAUUGGUUUCUGCUCAGCUGAGGCACCUGUGUGCUUUUUAAUCUGCCUGUUUAACAGCAGGAGCCCGUUAUUCUUUGGCGUUCUCUAGUUAUAACAGAUUUCAGCUCCAGAAACAUCAAGAAAUUGGAUUCCAGCUGCCAGGGGGUCUCUCUGAGAGAUUUCGUUCUCUAAGACAGAACUGUCUUUUUCUCUUUUUUCCGUCGUGAGAGGCGGCAUGGGGAACACCUGUGAUAAUCUGCAGAGGCAAAGCCUCAUGUGAGCAGGGCAGACAACGCUGCAGAGAGAAAGCCUUAGGGCCAGAAGUUCAAGGGAAGGCGGGGGAAUGAACUUUUUAAUGAUUAAGAAAGUUUGCUGACUACCACGUUGUGGUCUAACCCCCAGUGCUUUCAGGCUUCCCAUGUUAUUACCGAAGCCGGGACCAUUUUCAUUUCCCUGCUGCUUCACUGAAUCACUUGAUGCGCUUCAAAACUUCCUUGGUCUUUCUGCUCUGUGUCCUCUCAUUUUCGGGUGAGAUGCCCGUGGUUUAGAGAAUUUCUUCUCUCCUGCAUCACAGUCCCUCUCCUGGGAUCUAUGGAUGAACCUAGUGACCACUUGGGACUUUAUGCUUUCAGAAUGUCAAUUCCAGACAUACCUUUUUGUUUUUGUUUUUGCUUUUCGGGGCCACACCCGCAGCAUAUGGAGGUUCCCAGGCUAGGGUUCACAUCAGAGCUACAGCUGCCGGCCUACACCACAGCCACAACAACACAGGAUCCAAACGGCAUCUUCGACCUACACCGCAGCUCACGGCAACGCUGGAUCCUUAACCCCCUGGAACGAGGCUGGGGAUCAAACCCGCAUCCUCAUGGAUACGGGUUUCUUUGCACCCCAAGGGAAACUCCACAACAUUUUUAAAUGAUUCUGUGGAAGAAAAAUAUAUGUAAGCUCUGCUUAUAAUUUCAUGCACUCAAAUAUUUAUUGUACACUUACUGUUUUAGGUGCUUAUGAUGUAAAUAAGCCAACAAUGAUCCUUAUCAUCAAUAAAGCUUACAUUCUAGGAGUUCCCGUCAUGGUGAAGUGGUUAACGAAUCUGACUAGGAACCACAAAGUUGCAGGUUCGAUCCCUGCCCUUGCUCAGUGGGUUAAGGAUCCGGCAUUGCCGUGAGCUGGGGUGUAGGUCACAGAUGUGGCUCGGAUCCCGCGUUGCUCUGGCUCUGGUGUAGGCCGGUGGCUACAGCUCUGAUUGGACCCCUAGCCUGGG